RNAcentral lists this ribosomal RNA (1226 nucleotides) under Apilactobacillus kunkeei. RNAcentral's name for it is "Lactobacillus kunkeei partial 16S ribosomal RNA". The stretch from base 1 to 977 matches the Rfam family "Bacterial small subunit ribosomal RNA". The record is from RNAcentral. Lineage: Bacteria; Bacillati; Bacillota; Bacilli; Lactobacillales; Lactobacillaceae.
ANNNGNGCUAAUACAUGCAAGUCGAACGAGCUCUCCCAACAUUGGUUUUAUGCUUGCAUAAAUGAUUUUUGGAUUCGGAGCGAGUGGCGAACUGGUGAGUAACACGUGGGUAACCUGCCCCAAAGCGGGGGAUAACAUUUGGAAACAAGUGCUAAUACCGCAUAAUUAGUUGGAACCGCAUGGUUCCAACUUGAAAGAUGGCUCUGCUAUCACUUUGGGAUGGACCCGCGCCGUAUUAGUUAGUUGGUGAGAUAAAAGCCCACCAAGACGAUGAUACGUAGCCGACCUGAGAGGGUAAUCGGCCACAUUGGGACUGAGACACGGCCCAGACUCCUACGGGAGGCAGCAGUAGGGAAUCUUCCACAAUGGACGAAAGUCUGAUGGAGCAACGCCGCGUGAGUGAUGAAGGUUUUCGGAUCGUAAAACUCUGUUGUUAAAGAAGAACAAGUGUUAGAGUAACUGUUAACACUUUGACGGUAUUUAACCAGAAAGCCACGGCUAACUACGUGCCAGCAGCCGCGGUAAUACGUAGGUGGCAAGCGUUGUCCGGAUUUAUUGGGCGUAAAGCGAGCGCAGGCGGUUUUGUAAGUCUGCUGUGAAAGCCCUCAGCUUAACUGAGGAAGUGCAGUGGAAACUACAAAACUUGAGUACAGAAGAGGAAAGUGGAACUCCAUGUGUAGCGGUGAAAUGCGUAGAUAUAUGGAAGAACACCAGUGGCGAAGGCGGCUUUCUGGUCUGUUACUGACUCUGAGGCUCGAAAGCAUGGGUAGCGAACAGGAUUAAAUACCCUGGUUAGUCCAUGCCGUAAACGAAUGAAUAACUAGGUGUUGGAGGGUUUUCCGCCCUUCCAGUGCCGCAGCUAACGCAUUAAGUAAUUCCGCCUGGGGGAGUACGACCGCCAAGGUUGAAUACUCAAAAGGAAUUGACGGGGGGGCGCCCGCACAAAGUGAGUGGGAGGCAUGUGGUUUAAUUUCAGUUUGCUACGCCGAAAGAAACUAUACCAGACUCUGGACUAUCAUUCUCUGCCUAGCCCCAAGAGAUAUGGAGUUCGUUUCCCCUCUCUCCGGUGGCGACGAGAAAUAGAACAAGAUGGGUGAGCAUGGCNUUNNNCGUUCCAGNCUCNNCAUGNACGUGUGCAGAUGAUUUNGNGAUUUGUGAAACGUUCACUCAGUCAACCGNNANNNNNCNNACNNCCCNUCCAAUUNNUNNNUAGCUUGGNCNNAGNC